Molecule: unclassified non-coding RNA, 212 nt
Filed under: plant metagenome
Description: partial contains small subunit ribosomal RNA, internal transcribed spacer 1, and 5.8S ribosomal RNA
Source: RNAcentral
UUUCCGUAGGUGAACCUGCGGAAGGAUCAUUAAAAAUGAAGCCGGGAAACCGGUCCUUCUAACCCUUGAUUAUCUUAAUUUGUUGCUUUGGUGGGCCGCGCAAGCACCGGCUUCGGCUGGAUCGUGCCCGCCAGAGGACACAACUCUGUAUCAAAUGUCGUCUGAGUACCAUAAAAUAGUUAAAACUUUCAACAACGGAUCUCUUGGUUCUG